Molecule: long non-coding RNA, 2328 nt
Organism: Phragmites australis (common reed)
Lineage: Eukaryota; Viridiplantae; Streptophyta; Magnoliopsida; Poales; Poaceae
Exons: 3
Source: RefSeq, a predicted model, not a curated record
CCCACCGCCCACGGCUUCCACGCGACCAUCGGCUCGCGGCGCGGCAUGCGCCGUGCCACACUGCCACCCCAACCUCACGGCCAGCGCGCACGCGGGCGGGCGAGCUCCCCUCGCUCGCCCUCCUCCUCGCCAUCUAACCCCCUUCCUCUCGGCUCGAUUCGGUGCGGCCGGAGAGGAAGGGAGUGGACGCCGCCCCGACGUAAUCCACAUUACGGGCCUCGCGCGAGGCAGCCACCGCCGCCACGGGUGGGACUGGGUGCGUCAAGCUGAUCUUCGUUGAUUGCGCAGCGCAGGUCCUGUGACCGCAUCAUGGCAUUCGUCUCGCGGUGUGAAGAAUCUUAAGACUGGCAUCUGCUUUUUGGGCAGCUGUUUGCUUCAUAUCAGAACUCUGCUAUAUUAAUCCAUGAGGCCCAACUUGAUCCUAUUCCGAUUGAUGGUCAUCCUCGUGGCCAAUGGGGAAGAGAAUUCAUUCUCUGAGAUGUGAUAAUUUAUUGAGUUUAUGUUUUUAACAAAGUGAAUCAAACUGAUUCCCCAAAAGCUACCAGGUAGUCAGCUUUGAGUUUGAAGUAUUUGGGCAACUUGUUGUCCUAUUAUUUCCUACUGAAGGGGAGACCUUGCGUGCUAUGGUCGCAGAGAAAAGAUUUGUACAUGUUGCCAGCGACAGCGACUUCUACUCAUUGCAUAAAGUUUCUCCACCGUUCUAAUGAACUGGAUAUCUGGAAGAGUUUCUAAUGCACUACAGCUUUGGUUCGCUCACUGAAUCAUAAGGCAUGACAGACAACCAGAGCAGUAACACCAGAAAUAUCCACCUUACUCUACAGGUAACUAAGCAUGUUCAGGUGAAAUGGACUUCUGACUAGCACUAUAUAUGACGUUUUGGUCACUUUCUCUUGCUCUGUAAGGACAAUCUCAUCAAGUAUGUUCUUUAUGUGAUGGUACCUAUGGGGAAUCUUUGCAGUAAAACCAUGUAACGUUGAAAGAUGGCACUUUAACCUAACCAGAAGGAAGUUCACAGCUUUGAUUGUCACAUGGGCAGGAAGCUUAUUCAAGUGUAGCCAAAUUUUGUCAUUAUGAAAGUUCAGAGGUGUCAAAGACAACAGCCACUUGGAGAUCAAAGCCUAUCUGUAAGUUUGGUGAUUGCUUUGGUCCAGCUCAGAUAUACUUUUACAUCAGUGUCCGGUUAGUUCCCAGGCCAAUGGUCAGCUCUUCAAUUUGCUCACCUUCACCUAGUGGCACCAGUCUGGCACCUUUCUGAGAAACGUUGAGCGAGGUACAUCAACAUUUCUAUGCAAGAUUGCUAUCUUUGUGUUGCAUCCACUGUGCUUUACCGAUUAGUGGCGCCAGAUAUUGGAGUAUAAACAUCUACAAUCUGGUAUUCUGAUGGUAUCAGGAGGCCGGUGUUAUCGUGGACUACCAAAUUGGCCGGCUAUGUUUCAUUGUGGCCGUUGAAGCAUUGCUGUCAACAGUUGGUCCUAACUUCACUUGUUGGGUAGGUGCAUGCAGCUUAAAAAGGUUAAUGGAGUGCAUCAUAUAGCUUUGUACAGAUGCACACCACACACGACCAGGGAUUAUAGAGGGCCCAACAGUUGGCAAAAGUUAACAUGUCGAGCCAAUUAAUGACAGCUCCUAUCUUGGACAGAACAAUCUUGGAUGUUUGCUGCAACAGAAUGGUCCUCCCAGGCACAGCCUAAAGCCACUGCAGUCUUUUCUCCCAAGAAAGAAGCUUCCUUUUUCUCUAAUAAGGCCAGCUUAAUCUGCGGUUAACUACGCGCUUGGGUAAGUAAGAUCAGGAGAGGUUGAAGGACAGGCAGGGAGAGGGAAUCCAGGCUCUGAUUUGCUGGGAUGCUGUUCCUUCAGGCGCAAGCUCUAAUUAUUCUGCGAGCUUAGGAGUCACGUCUCGGCAUGUGAUUCGAUCGAGGUAUGCGAGGCUUAUGGCUAACUCUGGUACGUGGUCCAGCUUGAUUAGUCACUUGCAAGCUUGAAGAGGACAGGGGGGAGGGGGAUGCUUAGAUAUUGGUCGCCAGCAACACGGGACCAUGUGUGUUUCGCUGGACCAUUAUCGAUCACCGCGACUCACCGGCACGCAGUAGGUGCUGGUGGACCAUAAUCACUACUCCCUCUAGUGUGUACAAAGUUAAUGUGCUGUUUUAGAAAUAGCUUGGAAUGUAAAAAGGCUUAUGAUAUAGGGGAUUGCUAUUUAUAAUUGGCACGAAUAAUUCUAUUAUUCCACCCAUUUUUCUGUCCGUGAAAGACGCUUCAAGAUUCGAUCUUUUGAUACGUAUGGUUAUUGUAAAAGCUCUCAUUAAUCUACAUCCUCAUAAUGUGGCA